RNAcentral lists this transfer RNA (78 nucleotides) under Cyanobacteria bacterium UBA11367. RNAcentral's name for it is "tRNA-Arg". It matches the Rfam family "tRNA". From Rfam's summary of the family: Transfer RNA (tRNA) molecules are approximately 80 nucleotides in length. Lineage: Bacteria; Bacillati; Cyanobacteriota. The record is from RNAcentral. RNAcentral also lists the same sequence under 6 other names.
GAGAGUGUAGUUUAACUGGAUAAAACAUUAGUCUACGAAACUAAAAACGUGGGGGUUCAAAUCCCUCCACUCUCGUCA